Molecule: ribosomal RNA, 511 nt
Filed under: Caridina villadolidi
Lineage: Eukaryota; Metazoa; Arthropoda; Malacostraca; Decapoda; Atyidae
Description: partial 16S ribosomal RNA
Rfam family: Bacterial large subunit ribosomal RNA
Source: RNAcentral
CCUGCCCCCUGAAAAUUUUAAAGGGCCGCGGUAUCUGAACCGUGCUAAGGUAGCAUAAUAAAUAGUCUUUUAAUUGAGGUCUAGUAUGAAUGGUCGGACAUGAAGUAAUCUGUUUCAGUCGCAACAGUUGAAUUUUACUUUUAAGUGAAAAGGCUUAGAUUGAGUGGUGGGACGAUAAGACCCUAUAAAGCUUUACAUUCUACUCGUUAGUUGAAGAAAUUAUAGUUUUCUAUUCUUGUUGAGUAUGAGUGUUUCGUUGGGGCGACGAGAAUAUAAAGUGGUAACUGUUUUUGGCCAAAAAAUAGAUUUCUUUAGGAGUGUUGAUCCUUUAUAGAGAUUAUAAGAAUAAAGUUACUUUAGGGAUAACAGCGUAAUUCUUUUUGAGAGUUCAUAUCGACGAGAGUAGUUGCGACCUCGAUGUUGAAUUAAGAUACCCCUAAGGUGUAGCAGUUUUAGUGGUAGGUCUGUUCGACCUUUAAAAUCUUACAUGAUUUGAGUUCAGACCGGCGUG